RNAcentral lists this ribosomal RNA (253 nucleotides) under uncultured bacterium. RNAcentral describes it as "partial 16S ribosomal RNA". It matches the Rfam family "Bacterial small subunit ribosomal RNA", at positions 524 to 776 of the family's 1533-position model. The record is from RNAcentral.
UACGUAGGUGGCAAGCGAUACUCGGAAUCACUAGGCGUAAAGCGCAGGUAGGCGGUUCGGUAAGUCUCUUGUGAAAGCUCCCGGCUUAACUGGGAGAGGCCAAGGGAAACUACCGGGCUUGAGUGUGGUAGAGGAAGCUAGAAUUCCCGGUGUAGCGGUGAAAUGCGUAGAUAUCAGGAGGAACACCGGUGGUGUAGACGGCUUUCUGGACCGUAACUGACGCUGAGACACGAAAGCGUGGGUAGCAAACAGG